Molecule: ribosomal RNA, 397 nt
Filed under: uncultured bacterium
Lineage: Bacteria
Description: partial 16S ribosomal RNA
Rfam family: Bacterial small subunit ribosomal RNA
Source: RNAcentral
GUUCUCUUUGGGGAAAGAGGAAACAGGUGUUGCAUGGUUGUGGUCAGUUCGUGUGGGGAAAUGUUGGGUUAAUUCCCGCAACGAGCGCAACCCUUUUCUUUAGUUGCCAUCAUUAAGUUGGGCACUCUAGGGAGACUGCCGGUGAUAAACCGGAGGAAGGUGGGGAUGACGUCAAAUCAUCAUGCCCCUUAUGGCUUGGGCUCAACCCGGGUAAAAAAGGGGGGUACAAGGGGGGGCCAACCGGGGGGGCCAGAUAAAUUUUAAAAAACCAUUCUCAGUUCGGAUUGUAGUCUGCAACUCGAUUCCAUGAAGUGGGAAUAGAUUUUAAUCAUGGAUCAGCAUGUCACGGUGAAUACGUUCCCGGUUCUUGUACACACCGCCCGUCACACCAUGGGAG